This 253-nucleotide ribosomal RNA is filed under the name uncultured bacterium. Its description in RNAcentral is "partial 16S ribosomal RNA". It matches the Rfam family "Bacterial small subunit ribosomal RNA", at positions 524 to 776 of the family's 1533-position model. The record is from RNAcentral.
UACGUAGGUUGCGAGCGUUGUCCGGAUUUACUGGGCGUAAAGCGCGCGCAGGUGGUCCUGAAAGUCGAGCGUGAAAGCUCCCGGCCCAACUGGGAGAGGCCGUUCGAAACUUCAGGACUUGAAGGCGGGAGAGGCAAAUGGAAUUUCCGGUGUAGCGGUAAAAUGCGUAGAUACCGGAAGGAACACCAGUGGCGAAGGCGGGUCUCUGGGCAGUAACUGACGCUGAGGCGCGAAAGCGUGGGGAGCAAACAGG